AUCACUUCUCGGCCUUUUGGCUGAGAUCAAGUGUAGUACAGGCAACCAAACCAAUCAUUUAUAAUGUUGAACUCUAUCAUCUACUUUUAUUUUAAGAUUUUAUUUAUUUAUUUGAGAGAGAGAGAUU
RNAcentral lists this small nuclear RNA (127 nucleotides) under Canis lupus familiaris (dog). RNAcentral's name for it is "U2 spliceosomal RNA (ENSCAFG00030017932.1)". It matches the Rfam family "U2 spliceosomal RNA". Rfam says of the family: U2 is a small nuclear RNA (snRNA) component of the spliceosome (involved in pre-mRNA splicing). Lineage: Eukaryota; Metazoa; Chordata; Mammalia; Carnivora; Canidae. The record is from RNAcentral.